GACGAACUGUGCAAACGUUAUUCGGAAUCACUGGGCUUAAAGGGUGCGUAGGCGGUCUUGUAAGUAGGGUGUGAAAGCCCCCGGCUCAACCGGGGAACUGCGUCCUAAACUGCGAGGCUUGAGUGAGGUAGGGGUGUGUGGAACUUCCGGUGGAGCGGUGAAAUGCGUAGAUAUCGGAAGGAACGCCGGUGGCGAAAGCGACGUGCUGGACCUCUUCUGACGCUGAGGCGCGAAAGCUAGGGGAGCAAACGGG
Molecule: ribosomal RNA, 253 nt
Filed under: uncultured bacterium
Lineage: Bacteria
Description: partial 16S ribosomal RNA
Rfam family: Bacterial small subunit ribosomal RNA
Source: RNAcentral